Pieris rapae (cabbage white) is the source of this 483-nucleotide long non-coding RNA. RefSeq lists it as uncharacterized. The record is from RefSeq and is a predicted model, not a curated record. The transcript has 4 exons. NCBI's taxonomy places the organism in Eukaryota, Metazoa, Arthropoda, Insecta, Lepidoptera, Pieridae.
ACGUUGAUUGAAAGAGUAUUCAAAUUGUUUGCUAUAUUGAUGUUAAUAGUUUUUCCUCUCGCUUUGGUGUUCUGUUUCCGGGUUGUAAAACAAUAUAAAAGGGCGGUUAUUUUACGCUUUGGUAGAGUAAGAGAUGACUCUCCAGCCGGUCCCGGUAUAAUUUGGGUCGUACCAUGCACCGACAACGUUGUCUUUAUAGAUAUGAGAACUCAAUCUUUUAACUUGGCUCCACAGGAAAUCUUAACAAAAGACUUGGUGACAGUUCACGUUGAUGCUGUUGUAUACUUUCACGUCAUGAAUCCACUUUGCAGCCUGCUUAACGUCCAAUCCCACAAAAAAGCUACUGAACUUCUCUCUGUGGCACUUUUAAGAAAUAUUUUAGGGCAAUAUACGCUUUCCGAAUUACUUUCGAAUCGAUUUAAAAUAAGUGACGCGCUUCGUAAAGAAAUCGAUAAAGGAACAUUGGAGUGGGGCGUCGAAGUU